RNAcentral lists this ribosomal RNA (814 nucleotides) under Stegophorus macronectes. Its description in RNAcentral is "SSU rRNA". It matches the Rfam family "Eukaryotic small subunit ribosomal RNA", at positions 173 to 994 of the family's 1831-position model. The record is from RNAcentral. Lineage: Eukaryota; Metazoa; Nematoda; Chromadorea; Rhabditida; Acuariidae.
CACCAAAGCUCCGACUUUAUGGAAGAGCGCAUCUAUUAGAUUAAAACCAAUCGGGCCUAGCCCGUCAAUUGGUGACUCUGAAUAGCUAUGGCUGAUCGCAUGGUCUCGUACCGGCGACGUGUCUAUCAAGUGUCUGCCUUAUCAACUUUCGAUGGUAGUUUAUGUGCCUACCAUGGUUGUAACGGGUAACGGAGAAUAAGGGUUCGACUCCGGAGAGGGAGCCUGAGAAACGGCUACCACAUCCAAGGAAGGCAGCAGGCGCGCAAAUUACCCACUCUCGGCAUGAGGAGGUAGUGACGAAAAAUAACGAGACCGUUCUCUUCGAGGCCGGUUAUCGGAAUGGGUACAAUUUAAACCAGUUAACGAGGAUCUAUGAGAGGGCAAGUCUGGUGCCAGCAGCCGCGGUAAUUCCAGCUCUCAAAGUGUAUAUCGUCAUUGCUGCGGUUAAAAAGCUCGUAGUUGGAUCUGCGCCUCAGGACCCGGUCCGUCCUUUGGACGAGAACUGGGAUCCUAGGCUAGUACUGUCGGUUUUCCCUGUGUUGCCUUGAUCGGUCGCGCAGGGUGGCCGGCGAGUUUACCUUGAAAAAAUUAGAGUGCUCAACGCGGGCUGACGCCUGAAUACUCGUGCAUGGAAUAAUGAAAUAGGAUCUCGGUUCUAUUUUGUUGGUUUUCUGAUCUGAGAUAAUGGUUAAGAGGGACGGACGGGGGCAUUCGUAUCGCUGCGUGAGAGGUGAAAUUCUUGGACCGUAGCGAGACGCCCGACUGCGAAAGCAUUUGCCAAGAAUGUCUUCAUUAAUCAAGAACGAAAGUCAGA